Molecule: ribosomal RNA, 373 nt
Filed under: uncultured organism
Description: partial 16S ribosomal RNA
Rfam family: Bacterial small subunit ribosomal RNA
Source: RNAcentral
GUAGGUGGCAAGCGUUGUCCGGAAUUAUUGGGCGUAAAGCGCGCGCAGGCGGUUCUUUAAGUCUGAUGUGAAAGCCCACGGCUCAACCGUGGAGGGUCAUUGGAAACUGGAGAACUUGAGUACAGAAGAGGAAAGCGGAAUUCCACGUGUAGCGGUGAAAUGCGUAGAGAUGUGGAGGAACACCAGUGGCGAAGGCGGCUUUCUGGUCUGUAACUGACGCUGAGGCGCGAAAGCGUGGGGAGCAAACAGGAUUAGAUACCCUGGUAGUCCACGCCGUAAACGAUGAGUGCUAAGUGUUAGGGGGGUUUCCGCCCCCCUUAGUGCUGCAGCUAACGCAUUAAGCACUCCGCCUGGGAGUACGGCCGCGAGGCUG